AACGAACGCUGGCGGCAGGCCUCAACCAUGCAAGUCUAGGGGUGUAGCAAUACACACCGGCGGACGGGUGCGUAACACGUGGGAAUGUACCUACUGGUUCGGAACAACUGCGGGAAACUGCAGCUAAUACCGAAUGUGGCCUUAAGGAGAAAGAUUUAUCGCCAGUAGAUCAGCCCGCGUCCGAUUAGCUAGUUGGUGGGGUAAAAGCUCACCAAGGCGACGAUCGGUAGCUGUUCUGAGAGGAAGAUCAGCCACAAUGGGACUGAGACACGGCCCAGACUCCUACGGGAGGCAGCAGUUGGGAAUCUUGGACAAUGGGGGAAACCCUGAUCCAGCCAUGCCGCGUGAGUGAUGAAGGCCUUCGGGUUGUAAAACUCUUUCGACGGGGACGAUAAUGACGGUACCCGUAGAAGAAGCUCCGGCUAACUUCGUGCCAGCAGCCGCCGUAA
This 449-nucleotide ribosomal RNA is filed under the name uncultured bacterium. RNAcentral describes it as "partial 16S ribosomal RNA". It matches the Rfam family "Bacterial small subunit ribosomal RNA", at positions 29 to 523 of the family's 1533-position model. The record is from RNAcentral.